Molecule: ribosomal RNA, 166 nt
Filed under: Vasconcellea quercifolia
Lineage: Eukaryota; Viridiplantae; Streptophyta; Magnoliopsida; Brassicales; Caricaceae
Description: 5.8S ribosomal RNA
Rfam family: 5.8S ribosomal RNA
About the family: 5.8S ribosomal RNA (5.8S rRNA) is a component of the large subunit of the eukaryotic ribosome. It is transcribed by RNA polymerase I as part of the 45S precursor that also contains 18S and 28S rRNA. Functionally, it is thought that 5.8S rRNA may be involved in ribosome translocation.
Source: RNAcentral
GUAACGACUCUCGGCAACGGAUAUCUCGGCUCUCGCAUCGAUGAAGAACGCAGCGAAAUGCGAUACUUGGUGUGAAUUGCAGAAUCCCGCGAAUCAUCGAGUCUUUGAACGCAAGUUGCGCCCUAGGCCAUCCGGCUGUGGGCACGUCUGCCUGGGUGUCACGCAC